CUGGUGCUUUACCUGGGGGAUUAAGAUGUAUGCCUUGUCAGCAUGGAAGGCACGGCCUGGGCUCCUGGGAGACCCUCAGAACUCUUCAAUUCCAUCCUCCAAACAAGUCCUCAGCUGGGUCCCUCCCCGAUGUAGUCUGGUGGAAAUAUGGCUCCUAACAGCUGCCACAGCAGCACCCACCCACGUGUUUAUACUGCUCCUGCACCUGUGGCAUCCCACCCAAGAGGAAGGGCAAAGGAAGAGCCUGUCACCACAGCAGAACCAGAAGAAAGCUCUAGUCCCGUUCUGCGACUAGCCUGCAGGACAUGGCCAGGUUCUGGCCCUGCGUAGGUUUGUUUCCUCACCUGCCAUCAAUUUCUAGCUUACUGAACAUGGCGUUAAUUAAAUAGCAUUUUAACCUA
This 401-nucleotide long non-coding RNA is filed under the name Rattus norvegicus (Norway rat). RNAcentral's name for it is "long non-coding RNA NONRATT025335". Lineage: Eukaryota; Metazoa; Chordata; Mammalia; Rodentia; Muridae. The record is from RNAcentral.